This 729-nucleotide unclassified non-coding RNA is filed under the name Homo sapiens (human). RNAcentral's name for it is "MUC20 overlapping transcript (ENSG00000280993.2)". The record is from RNAcentral. Lineage: Eukaryota; Metazoa; Chordata; Mammalia; Primates; Hominidae.
GUGAUGGGGGCCUCAGCACUAGGAAGGAGUGGACUGUUGGCGCACGCAGCAGCUUGAAUAAAUCUGAAAGUCACUACGCUGCGUAAGAGAAGCCAAAUAAAGCGCAUGCUGUGUACAGAGGGUGUCGAGAAUGCCUCCUACGUGACGGAAAGCAGAUCCGUGGUUCCCUGCAGACUGGCAGGAGCAGAUUCCAAAGGCACAGGAAGAAGCUUGCAGGUUUCCUUAAUGACAACAAAAAAGGGAGUAAUCCUACCCACUGUAAGAGUCAUGACUCUUGAUUGCAGCUGACAGAAACUCAUGACAGCCUGCUUUAGAUGAAGGGGGAGAGAAGGACUGGAAGAAUCUUGGAGUUGGGAAUGUCACACGUAAUUGAAGGAAGAACAAGAAAACUAUAGCAGCUGCUCCCAACCCCAGAACCUUUGCUGUCUUGGGACGGAUCACCACUGCAAGAGGGGAAGUUGCUACUGUGAUGAAUUCUGCCAUGUGGCACCAGACUGCCACCCAGACCACAGUGUCCUCUGCAACCCUGGUAACUCACAUACAGGCCCGAUUCCACCGACAGCAAAGCUGGAUGCUAUGGCUGGCAGAGGCAAACCCUUUGCCUGCACUUCAGGCCAAAGCCGGGAUGUGGCCUAGAUGGUUCCUAAGGUCCCUGACAAUCCUGAGAUCUUGCAUCUUGUCUAUUUCAGGUCAAAGGUGCCUACAUGCUCCUUCUAGCUUUGUUUCCCU